GUACAUGGGCCAAUAUGUGGGGAUUUGCACGGGAGGCACAAAAGCCCAGUCCACGGCCUAAAACCAGUUAGCACGGCCACACGACACCCAAUCCUUCGACCUCGUCGUACUCGUACAGGAAGACCAGAACAUCCCCAAUCGAGCGGAGCAGCAGCGAGAGUAACCUAGCCGUCGCCGGCUCGCCGCCACAAAGCUCCGCCUCGCCGGGCCGCCGCCUCGUGGCCGAAGAGCUCUGCCUCGCCGGGCCACCGGCCGCGGGCACCUAUGGGCGAACGGAAAGAAGCAACGGUGCCGAGCGUGGCCUGUGUGGGAGGAGGCAGCGGCGGCAGUGGAUCGAGAUCGAGCUCAUGCAAACGCGCAUCUGCUGUUUGCAAAAUCAGCAAGCGCAGCCAGCAGGGGAUCUUUAAGAAGAUGAAGCCAAUUGCUGCUUAUUUUGGAACUCCACCAUCUAAUGAAUUUCAAGCUCCUGUUCAUGUUCCUGAACCUGAUGCGAACAUUUUAUCCACUGAAGCCUCAGAUGCAAACAUUGUAGAAGAUCUAGUUCCUGAACCUGAAGUGUAUAAUGAGGGCUCUCAUGAUAACACUUUACAAACUUCUAUUCUAGGAUUUAGUUGCUUCGUUUUGUAUUAAAAGGGAGAUACCAGUGCCUAGUAUGGAUGAGAAUAUACCAGCAAGGGGUUACCCAAGGAGUUCCCGCAAAAUGGUUAGUUGCUUCCAUCACUACAAAGUUGAAAUAUUCAAUGAGGUUCUUGACAGAAACAUAGCUGAGAUGAAUCACCGGUUUAGUGAAACUUCAACAAGGUUAUUGAUAUGCAUUGCUAGUCUAGAUCCAAGAGACUCAUUUGGCAGAUUUAAUCAUGAGAACCUACUUGAGCUUGCAUCUAUGUACUCAGUCGAGUUCGAUCCAGAAGAACAAUAUCAUUUGGAUGGUCAACUCAAGAUAUACAUUGAUAUGAUGAAAAGGUCUGAUGUUUUUUGCAGUUGUGGCAGUCUCGCUAAUCUUGCUCUCAAGUUGGUUGAAACUAAGGAACAUUUACACUUUCCUUUGGUUUACCGGCUCAUCACACUUACUUUGACUUUGCCAGUAGCGGCGGCAUCUGUUGAAAGAGUUUUCUCAGCCAUGAAUAUCAUUAAAACAGAUUUGAGAAAUAAGAUAUCUGAUGAUUGGUUGAAUGAUAUGAUGAUAUGCUAUGUAGAGCGAGAUAUAUUUGCUGGAACUGAUGACAAGAAGAUCAUAGAACAUUUUCACAGCUUGAGAGACCAUAGAGGCCAUCUACCCAACCCUCCCUGUAUACUUACGACUUAGGGUAUCUUUUAGUCAUGGAGUUGGACAUUUUGGGCCAUGGAAUGAAUUAUUCAAGCAGCGGGAGUCCAAGUUAGUAGUUAUGUGUGACGUUUAUGUUAUAUUUUGUGAUUUUAGGUGGUUACAACCUAGUUCUCGAGAAUCUUGAAAUGUUCUGAAUCAUUGGUCAUGUAAAUUCUCGAGUGCAUCUAGCUUCAUAUUUGAAUUUUAUGGGAUUUGGUUCAACGGACUUGCAUUCGUCGAUCAAUUUUUUUAUACCUUCAA
Aegilops tauschii subsp. strangulata is the source of this 1567-nucleotide long non-coding RNA. RefSeq lists it as uncharacterized. The record is from RefSeq and is a predicted model, not a curated record. Lineage: Eukaryota; Viridiplantae; Streptophyta; Magnoliopsida; Poales; Poaceae.